GACCUCGUUGCUCAGUUGGUAGAGCAUUGGACUAGCAUACCGAAAGUCGCGGGUUCGAUUCCCACCGUGGUCA
This is a non-coding RNA of Paramuricea clavata, 73 nucleotides long. NCBI's taxonomy places the organism in Eukaryota, Metazoa, Cnidaria, Anthozoa, Malacalcyonacea, Plexauridae. The record is from the annotation of a GenBank genome assembly.